CUGCCUAUUAGUGGGGGACAACAUCUCGAAAGGGAUGCUAAUACCGCAUACGUCCUACGGGAGAAAGCAGGGGAUCUUCGGACCUUGCGCUAAUAGAUGAGCCUAAGUCGGAUUAGCUAGUUGGUGGGGUAAAGGCCUACCAAGGCGACGAUCUGUAGCGGGUCUGAGAGGAUGAUCCGCCACACUGGGACUGAGACACGGCCCAGACUCCUACGGGAGGCAGCAGUGGGGAAUAUUGGACAAUGGGGGGAACCCUGAUCCAGCCAUGCCGCGUGUGUGAAGAAGGCCUUAUGGUUGUAAAGCACUUUAAGCGAGGAGGAGGCUACUUUAGUUAAUACCUAGAGAUAGUGGACGUUACUCGCAGAAUAAGCACCGGCUAACUCUGUGCCAGCAGCCGCGGUAAUACAGAGGGUGCGAGCGUUAAUCGGAUUUACUGGGCGUAAAGCGUGCGUAGGCGGCUUAUUAAGUCGGAUGUGAAAUCCCCGAGCUUAACUUGGGAAUUGCAUUCGAUACUGGUGAGCUAGAGUAUGGGAGAGGAUGGUAGAAUUCCAGGUGUAGCGGUGAAAUGCGUAGAGAUCUGGAGGAAUACCGAUGGCGAAGGCAGCCAUCUGGCCUAAUACUGACGCUGAGGUACGAAAGCAUGGGGAGCAAACAGGAUUAGAUACCCUGGUAGUCCAUGCCGUAAACGAUGUCUACUAGCCGUUGGGGCCUUUGAGGCUUUAGUGGCGCAGCUAACGCGAUAAGUAGACCGCCUGGGGAGUACGGUCGCAAGACUAAAACUCAAAUGAAUUGACGGGGGCCCGCACAAGCGGUGGAGCAUGUGGUUUAAUUCGAUGCAACG
Molecule: ribosomal RNA, 841 nt
Filed under: Acinetobacter baumannii
Lineage: Bacteria; Pseudomonadati; Pseudomonadota; Gammaproteobacteria; Moraxellales; Moraxellaceae
Description: bacterial SSU rRNA
Rfam family: Bacterial small subunit ribosomal RNA
Source: RNAcentral